RNAcentral lists this ribosomal RNA (429 nucleotides) under Acidobacteriota bacterium. Its description in RNAcentral is "Acidobacteria bacterium partial 16S ribosomal RNA". It matches the Rfam family "Bacterial small subunit ribosomal RNA", at positions 355 to 776 of the family's 1533-position model. The record is from RNAcentral. Lineage: Bacteria; Pseudomonadati; Acidobacteriota.
UGGGGAAUUUUUGACAAUGGGGGAAACCCUGAUCCAGCCAUCCCGCGUGUGCGAUGAAGGCCUUCGGGUUGUAAAGCACUUUUUGCAGGAAAGAAACGUCAUGGGUUAAUACCCCGUGAAACUGACGGUACCUGCAGAAUAAGCACCGGCUAACUACGUGCCAGCAGCCGCGUUAAUACGUAGGGUGCAAGCGUUAAUCGGAAUUACUGGGCGUAAAGCGUGCGCAGGCGGUUCGGAAAGAAAGAUGUGAAAUCCCAGAGCUCAACUUUGGAACUGCAUUUUUAACUACCGGGCUAGAGUGUGUCAGAGGGAGGUGGAAUUCCGCGUGUAGCAGUGAAAUGCGUAGAUAUGCGGAGGAACACCGAUGGCGAAGGCAGCCUCCUGGGAUAACACUGACGUUCAUGCACGAAAGCGUGGGGAGAAAACAGG